AGAGUCACAACAACAACACGUGCAGAUCCUGCAGAUGACAGCUGUUUAUAUCACUUUUAACAACAUGUUUUUCAGCGAAUCUGCAAAUAAUCCGACACACGGUCCGAUGAAACGCUGGAGUCGAGUGUGACGCGACUCACCUAAUAAGUGGUGUCUUGUUGGUUGUAAACUCGUCCAGCUGAAGCAGAGCUCUGGGACGUGUGGACAGACAUUGACUGUAAUGAUGGACAUCUGCUCAGGGACAGUCUGUGCAAAGGUAUAACCACUGCGGGUCACGGUGCUGGAAGCUCCAGGGGGAGACCGUACUGAUAUCCCCCUUCUUCAGGCACGCCUUCACACACUCCACCAUUCACUCAUAUCGCAGAGACCUGGCUGGGAUCGAACCAGCAACCUCUAAACC
Sinocyclocheilus anshuiensis is the source of this 400-nucleotide long non-coding RNA. RefSeq lists it as uncharacterized. The transcript is spliced from 3 exons. The record is from RefSeq and is a predicted model, not a curated record. Lineage: Eukaryota; Metazoa; Chordata; Actinopteri; Cypriniformes; Cyprinidae.